Ctenopharyngodon idella (grass carp) is the source of this 1237-nucleotide long non-coding RNA. RefSeq lists it as uncharacterized. NCBI's taxonomy places the organism in Eukaryota, Metazoa, Chordata, Actinopteri, Cypriniformes, Xenocyprididae. The transcript has 4 exons. The record is from RefSeq and is a predicted model, not a curated record.
CCUGCCCACAAUGUUAGAUGUUUCUCUCAAUCUCAAAUAGCUGAUAUACAAGGAUUAUUCACCCAAAACACAAAUAUAUUCAAGCAACCAUGUUCAAAGAGAGCCAUUUGAAUAUUGAAGUGAUAAUCGCUGUCCUCCUGUUCUCGGCUGUCUAUUCUCAAAAGAAACCAGAUUUUGGAACACUCUCAGCAUGUGUCAAUAAAAACCAAAGCCUAACGCUUGAUUGUUUUUACCCAUCUUGUGACUCCACACCCUUUAUCUGCAACGUUUAUGAUGUUGAGGGAAAGUCAAAAACACUAAUUGGCAGCUCAGACUUGGCAAUGGUAAACAGCAAUGUUUCAUACUUAAAUGCUUCAUCUGGAGUGUGUCGACUCAUUAUCAAAGAUCAUGCCACGAUUUACCAUAACAAGACCAAGAUUUAUGAAUGCCAUCUGUCACGAAGAAAAAGUAAAGAAGAGAGGGCACUCACUGUGCAAUACAAAAAAAGAAAAGAGCGACCAAAGGCUUGUCCCUCAGGUGGAUCAUUCCUACGAGUCACAAGAUUGCUGUGGUCAAUAGCAUUUAUUUUCUUCCAAGAAACUUACUUGUAAAACCACACUUUUCAUGCUCUUUCUAUGACCAACAGUGUAUGCAUGCUAUGAACAUUUAUAUUAAAUUAUCACUACAUCUCAAGUUAUGUAUCAUGUUAUGUUUAUUACAGUAUACAUUACAUAUAUACACUCACACACACACACACACACACAUAUAUAUAUAUAUAUAUAUAUAUAAAGUGGCAUCUUGAAAGGACGUGUUCUAGAGGGCAGAUACAUUGCUCUAAGAUGGCUGGAGCAAGGGGGCAGCUUAAGAACUACCUUUCCCAGCUCACCACACAUGGAAGCUGGGGGACAAGAUGGCCGUCAAUUAAGGACUACAAAACCCAGGUUGCCAGAGAGAGCAGCUGCAGCUAAUAAGACCAGCAGCAAGGUCUAAUAGAUGUUGUGGGAGAAUGGUGAAGUGUGUGUGGCUGGGAAAAGACAUGUAUCUGUGAAACAAAGAAGACUAAGUAUUUGUGUUGUUAGCUGAAAAGAUUUAAGUUGAAAACCUUCUGUUUGAUUAUUAAACCCACACCUGCAUACCAAAAAGACUGUUGAAGCUGCGUUUACUGUGAAACUAGAGAUCCUGAACCUCUCAUGCUGUCACAAUAUAUAUAUAAAAAUCAAAUGUAAAUUCAUGUCCAGUUAUCCUGUUUUUCUGGUUA